GACGAACGCUGGCGGCGUGCCUAAUACAUGCAAGUCGAGCGAGCUUGCCUAGAUGAUUUUAGUGCUUGCACUAAAUGAAACUAGAUACAAGCGAGCGGCGGACGGGUGAGUAACACGUGGGUAACCUGCCCAAGAGACUGGGAUAACACCUGGAAACAGAUGCUAAUACCGGAUAACAACACCAGGCGCAUGUCUAGAGUUUGAAAGAUGGUUCUGCUAUCACUCUUGGAUGGACCUGCGGUGCAUUAGCUAGUUGGUAAGGUAACGGCUUACCAAGGCAAUGAUGCAUAGCCGAGUUGAGAGACUGAUCAGCCACAUUGGGGCUGAGACACGGCCCAA
RNAcentral lists this ribosomal RNA (339 nucleotides) under uncultured bacterium. Its description in RNAcentral is "bacterial SSU rRNA". It matches the Rfam family "Bacterial small subunit ribosomal RNA", at positions 28 to 334 of the family's 1533-position model. The record is from RNAcentral.